GGCGGUCCAAGUGCAGGGGUGUUUACAACUAAUUGAUCACAACCAGUUACAGAUUCCUUUAUUCCUUCUCCACUCCCACGCUUCACUUGACUAGCUGAAA
Molecule: Y RNA, 100 nt
Filed under: Prolemur simus (greater bamboo lemur)
Lineage: Eukaryota; Metazoa; Chordata; Mammalia; Primates; Lemuridae
Description: Y RNA (ENSPSMG00000012893.1)
Rfam family: Y RNA
About the family: Y RNAs are components of the Ro ribonucleoprotein particle (Ro RNP), in association with Ro60 and La proteins.
Source: RNAcentral